GAUGAACGCUAGCGGCAGGCCUAACACAUGCAAGUCGAGGGAGAGGUUACCUUCGGGUCACCAAAACCGGCGCACGGGUGCGUAACGCGUAUACAAUCUGCCUUUCACAUAGGUAUAGCCCGAAGAAAUUUGGAUUAAUACCUAACGGUAUAUAAGAGCGGCAUCGUUUUUAUAUUAAAGCUACGGUGGUGAAAGAUGAGUAUGCGUUCUAUUAGCUAGUUGGAGAGGUAACGGCUCCCCAAGGCGACGAUAGAUAGGGGUUCUGAGAGGGAUGUCCCCCACACUGGUACUGAGAUACGGACCAGACUGCUACGGGAGGCAGCAGUGAGGAAUAUUGGACAAUGGUCGGAAGACUGAUCCAGCCAUGCCGCGUGCAGGAUGAAGGUCCUAUGGAUUGUAAACUGCUUUUGUAAGGGAAGAAUAAGGAGUACGUGUACUUUGAUGACGGUACCUUACGAAUAAGCAUCGGCUAACUCCGUG
This 480-nucleotide ribosomal RNA is filed under the name uncultured bacterium. RNAcentral describes it as "partial 16S ribosomal RNA". It matches the Rfam family "Bacterial small subunit ribosomal RNA", at positions 28 to 507 of the family's 1533-position model. The record is from RNAcentral.